ACGGGUGAGUAACACGUGGGAAACUACCCUUUGGUGCGGAAUAACACAGAGAAAUUUGUGCUAAUACCGCAUGAGCUCUUCGGAGGGAAGAUUUAUCGCCAAAGGAUGUGCCCGCGUCCGAUUAGCUAGUUGGUGAGGUAAUGGCUCACCAAGGCGACGAUCGGUAGCUGGUCUGAGAGGAUGAUCAGCCACACUGGGACUGAGACACGGCCCAGACUCCUACGGGAGGCAGCAGUGGGGAAUAUUGGACAAUGGGCGCAAGCCUGAUCCAGCCAUGCCGCGUGAGUGAUGAAGGCCUUAGGGUUGUAAAGCUCUUUCGCCCGCGAGGAUAAUGACGGUAGCGGGAUAAGAAGCCCCGGCUAACUUCGUGCCAGCAGCCGCGGUAAUACGAAGGGGGCUAGCGUUGUUCGGAAUCACUGGGCGUAAAGCGCACGUAGGCGGACUUUUAAGUCAGAGGUGAAAGCCUGGAGCUCAACUUCAGAACUGCCUUUGAUACUGGAAGUCUUGAGUCCGGUAGAGGUGAGUGGAACUGCUAGU
Molecule: ribosomal RNA, 537 nt
Filed under: uncultured bacterium
Lineage: Bacteria
Description: bacterial SSU rRNA
Rfam family: Bacterial small subunit ribosomal RNA
Source: RNAcentral